UUAAGUUCAGCGGGUAUCCCUACCUGAUCCGAGGUCAAGAGUGUAAAAAAGUACUUUUUGGACGUCGUCGUUAUGAGUGCAAAGCGCGAGAUGUACUGCGCUCCGAAAUCAAUACGCCGGCUGCCAAUUGUUUUAAGGCGAGUACACGCAAGGGCGAGACAAACACCCAACACCAAGCAGAGCUUGAAGGUACAAAUGAC
This 200-nucleotide unclassified non-coding RNA is filed under the name Didymellaceae sp. Its description in RNAcentral is "partial internal transcribed spacer 2". The record is from RNAcentral. Lineage: Eukaryota; Fungi; Ascomycota; Dothideomycetes; Pleosporales; Didymellaceae.